Long non-coding RNA from Lepidothrix coronata (blue-crowned manakin), 580 nucleotides. RefSeq lists it as uncharacterized. NCBI's taxonomy places the organism in Eukaryota, Metazoa, Chordata, Aves, Passeriformes, Pipridae. The record is from RefSeq and is a predicted model, not a curated record. The transcript is spliced from 3 exons.
CCUGGCUGGGCUGGGGGGGGUCCCCAGGAGGAGCUGUCUGGUGGGAAGUGUCUCUGAGCUGGAGGAGGAGGAGGAAAAGGGCUGAUGGAAGAGCAGCAGGCACUGAAAAGCUGCUCGAUGCCUCCGAGUCUGGUUGACAGAUAUUAUGAAGAGGUUCAGAGGUGGUUGGGUUCAUCCCAGGGGAAAUCUCCACCACAACGACAGAGCCUGGAGUCCAAUCAAUCUUUUUUCUACAAGCACAACAAGGGGAAACUCUGAGGGACCGAAGAAAAAAACAGUGAUUUUGGAAAUGUCAGAAUAUUUGAACAGGUUCUGAUUGACACGAAGAUCUCGGUGUUGUCAACAUGGAAAUGUUGCUUUUGUGUUUGCUGCAAGACCAGGGCCCGGGGUUCACCUCUGCUCGAGGGAGAGGGAAGUACAGGAUGGCACUUACAGAAAGGGGACUAAGAGAAAGAAAUGGCUAAUUCCUUGUGAUUUGGAACCCCAUGGAGUAAAUGGGGAAAUGUGAUGUGGGGUUAUAAGUGUGGUGUAAUUGUAGGAGCCCUUUGGCUCCUGCAUCUCUGCUGCUCCCUCUGCCCCC